Molecule: long non-coding RNA, 1496 nt
Organism: Cryptomeria japonica (Japanese cedar)
Lineage: Eukaryota; Viridiplantae; Streptophyta; Pinopsida; Cupressales; Cupressaceae
Exons: 2
Source: RefSeq, a predicted model, not a curated record
ACCAAUUUCAAGGCCAAAGGCUAAGUAUCAUAAAAACCAUAUUUUAGUGCCCUAAAAAGAUGUGGCCUUUACGGGGCAAGGAUUCAGCACGCUCUCCUUCAUUGUCUUCGGAAGGCCUCAUUACUCUUAUUUAAUCCCCAGAUUCUGUUUUUACAGAGGAUCUAAAUUAUUAUUAUUGUAUGGUGGAUUCACAUGAUCAUUCCAAGCCAAUAAACUGCAUAAAACAGCUAUGGUUCCGUUGUAAAUCAUGGCAGUUGGAACACUUCAUUUUAGGCGUUAGAAGGGGAAGCGGCCCUUUUGCAGGGAAUUGAUCACUUCAAAGCAAUGAUCAUGUCAUUUAAAUAAACUUUAUGAAUCCAACAUGCAGUGAGAUUGUAUGAUGGUAAGAAGUUGGAUGGAGAUCUGUAAAAUGUCGAUGAAGUUGUGGUUUGACAUAUUUGAAAACUUUGAACCUCCGGUAUGCAACACUUGUAGGAAUGAAUUUGAUAACAAGGUACAAAUUUAGUCUUUUGAGGUUGUGUGUCUGGCAUUUCCUUAUACAUCAAGGCUGAAAGAUGUAAAGAAGUUUGAUGCAAAUUUGUAAAAUGUGGAGGGAGUUGUGCUUCGACAUGUAGACAUCAAUUAUUUUAAAACAUUCAAGGUUGUAUAUGCAACUCUUCUAAGAAUGAGUUUUCAUUGCAAUGUGCCAAAUUAAUCUUUGAGAUUAUGCAUGUCAGAUAAUCUUUUCUGGGAUUGAGUGGUGAAUUCCCCACCAAAUUCCAGCUGUAUUAGCUGCAAGCGUAUCUGGUGCAUAAAACAUAAUUUUCCAGUUGACCCUAAAAAGCUAUGGCUGACUUCUGAAUUGCAAUUUAAGAAUUCCAAAUAGUGAUUUAAUCGCAAGAUUUCGGAGAAACUGACAGGUGUUUGUAAGAGCAAUGCACUCAUAUGAAAAUGGGUAUAAUAUUCUAAGGUUGACUGCAAUGAAGUAUGGAACUGAAGACACCAUGAUUGAGGACUUUGCAUUUUGAAAGCAGAGAUGCAAGUAUAACUUAUCAUUUGAAAAUGUGAUCUCAUUGGUCAAAUAAUCAAAGCAUAUAAGAUAUCAUGCAUCAGUUGUAAUGUCUUGGGCCAUGUUUCACUUGGUCUGCAGUAUAUGGUGUACUUUGCAUUUUGAAAGCAGAGAUGGAAGGACAACUUAUCAUUUGAAAAUAUGACCUCAUUGGUCAAAUAAUCAAAGCAUAUAAGAAAUCAUGCAUCAGUUGUAAUGUCUUGGGCCAUGUUUCACUUGGUCUGCAGUAUAUGGUGUACUUCUGCGUUUUGAAAGCAGAGAUGGAAGUACAACUUGUCAUUUGCAAGUAUGACUUCAUUGGUCAAAUAAUCAAAGCAUAUAAGAAAUCAUGCUUCAGUUGUAAUGUCUUGGGCUAUGUUUCACUUGGUCUACAGUUUAUGGUGUAUGUGUUAUAUACGGUAUAAUGUCAAUUUCAAUUACAAAAGAACAGUAAUUUGUUCGAUCUCUA